Molecule: ribosomal RNA, 497 nt
Filed under: uncultured bacterium
Lineage: Bacteria
Description: partial 16S ribosomal RNA
Rfam family: Bacterial small subunit ribosomal RNA
Source: RNAcentral
GAUGAACGCUGGCGGCGUGCCUAAUACAUGCAAGUCGAGCGAACAGACGAGGAGCUUGCUCCUCUGACGUUAGCGGCGGACGGGUGAGUAACACGUGGAUAACCUACCUAUAAGACUGGGAUAACUUCGGGAAACCGGAGCUAAUACCGGAUAAUAUAUUGAACCGCAUGGUUCAAUAGUGAAAGACGGGUUUGCUGUCACUUAUAGAUGGAUCCGCGCCGCAUUAGCUAGUUGGUAAGGUAACGGCUUACCAAGGCGACGAUGCGUAGCCGACCUGAGAGGGUGAUCGGCCACACUGGAACUGAGACACGUUCCAGACUCCUACGGGAGGCAGCAGUAGGGAAUCUUCCGCAAUGGGCGAAAGCCUGACGGAGCAACGCCGCGUGAGUGAUGAAGGUCUUCGGAUCGUAAAACUCUGUUAUUAGGGAAGAACAAAUGUGUAAGUAACUAUGCACGUCUUGACGGUACCUAAUCAGAAAGCCACGGCUAACUACGUG